Non-coding RNA from Pelobates cultripes (western spadefoot toad), 263 nucleotides. Lineage: Eukaryota; Metazoa; Chordata; Amphibia; Anura; Pelobatidae. The record is from the annotation of a GenBank genome assembly.
CAUUUUUUCACCAAUAUAUGCCAAAGUAUGUGGUAAAAAAAUUAUUUUGUGCAUUUUUUACAUACGGAUUGCAUUUUUGCUGGGCGUUUUGUAUAUUUCAUAUGUGCCACUAAGUUCAAACCUCCCAAAUUAUGCUCAGCUAAGUCUUUUGAGUAAAAAUACACCCCCAAUGAAUGUCUGUCACUAUUUUGUGAAGCUACAAUGCCAUAUAGGAGACCAAGCCAUAUCCGUUUUUACCAAACUUUGAAUUUUGACGCUGGGCC